Molecule: transfer RNA, 62 nt
Filed under: Paraleius leontonychus
Lineage: Eukaryota; Metazoa; Arthropoda; Arachnida; Sarcoptiformes; Scheloribatidae
Description: tRNA-Glu(ttc)
Source: RNAcentral
AUAAAUUUAAGUUAAAAAAACUAGCUAUUUUUCAAGUAGCAAAUGCCCGCAAGCAAUUUUUG